CUGAAGUGAUUUGGGGAUGUUGCUGGCCUCUUUCUUUUUGAGGGGGCAAUGUGCACUCCCUGAACAAUUCACAAUUUCCAUCACACCCUUGUGCACAUCUUGUAGGCGCCCACUCACCUCUUUUGGUCGGGGUGUCCUAUGUAUUCCUUCAUCUCACACUUUAUUGAAUGGUGCUCUUGAACGCAUCUCAUGGAUUAUUUGUAAAAAAGUAAUCACAGAAA
This 221-nucleotide unclassified non-coding RNA is filed under the name uncultured Hygrocybe. RNAcentral's name for it is "sequence contains ITS1". The record is from RNAcentral. Lineage: Eukaryota; Fungi; Basidiomycota; Agaricomycetes; Agaricales; Hygrophoraceae.